RNAcentral lists this ribosomal RNA (253 nucleotides) under uncultured bacterium. Its description in RNAcentral is "partial 16S ribosomal RNA". It matches the Rfam family "Bacterial small subunit ribosomal RNA", at positions 524 to 776 of the family's 1533-position model. The record is from RNAcentral.
UACGUAGGGUGCAAGCGUUAAUCGGAAUUACUGGGCGUAAAGCGUGCGCAGGCGGUGCUGUAAGACAGGCGUGAAAACCCCGGGCUUAACCUGGGAAUGGCGCUUGUGACUGCAGUGCUGGAGUGCGGCAGAGGGGGAUGGAAUUCCGCGUGUAGCAGUGAAAUGCGUAGGUAUGCGGAGGAACACCGAUGGCGAAGGCAAUCCCCUGGGCCUGCACUGACGCUCAUGAACGAAAGCGUGGGGAGCAAACAGG